UCGAGAAUUUUUCUCAAUGGGGGAAACCCUGAAGGAGCGACGCCGCGUGAAGGAUGAAGGUCUUCGGAUUGUAAACUUCUGUCAUUUGAGAACAAACUGCACGGCUUAACUGGCUGUGCACUGAUAGUAUCAGAAGAGGAAGAGACGGCUAACUCUGUGCCAGCAGCCGCGGUAAUACAGAGGUCUCGAGCGUUGUUCGGAUUCAUUGGGCGUAAAGGGUGCGUAGGUGGUCUGGUAAGUCGGAUGUGAAAUCCCGGAGCUUAACUUCGGAACUGCAUUCGAUACUGCCGGACUGGAGUACUGGAGAGGAGAUCGGAAUUUACGGUGUAGCAGUGAAAUGCGUAGAUAUCGUAAGGAAGACCAGUGGCGAAGGCGGAUCUCUGGACAGUUACUGACACUGAGGCACGAAGGCCGAGGGGAGCAAACGGGAUUAAGGAUACCCCGGUAGUCCUGGCA
RNAcentral lists this ribosomal RNA (456 nucleotides) under uncultured Verrucomicrobiota bacterium. RNAcentral's name for it is "bacterial SSU rRNA". It matches the Rfam family "Bacterial small subunit ribosomal RNA", at positions 355 to 801 of the family's 1533-position model. Lineage: Bacteria; Pseudomonadati; Verrucomicrobiota. The record is from RNAcentral.